This 302-nucleotide long non-coding RNA is filed under the name Malus domestica (apple). Its description in RNAcentral is "long non-coding RNA (MDOM_LNC014836)". Lineage: Eukaryota; Viridiplantae; Streptophyta; Magnoliopsida; Rosales; Rosaceae. The record is from RNAcentral.
AGAUGAUAAUGGAAGCACUUAUGGCGCUGAACGAGAAGAGCGGGUCGAGUCCGUACGCCAUAGCAAAGCACAUGGAGGAGAAGCACAAGGCGGUGCUCCCGGCGAACUUCAGGAAGACUCUGGCACUGCAGCUGAAGAACUCGGCGGCGAGAGGAAAGUUGAUCAAGAUCAGAGCCUCGUACAAGCUCUCCGAGGCGGGCAAGAAGGAGAAAUCGACAGCCAAAACAAGCGCCGUUUCGAAACCAAAAGCGGAGAAGAAGACCAAAACGACCUCCUCUGCUAAGAAGCCCGGGAAAAAGAAC